RNAcentral lists this long non-coding RNA (1356 nucleotides) under Danio rerio (zebrafish). RNAcentral describes it as "lncRNA (ENSDARG00000097367.2)". Lineage: Eukaryota; Metazoa; Chordata; Actinopteri; Cypriniformes; Danionidae. The record is from RNAcentral.
ACGCAGAAGUAUAAACCAGGCUUUAGACUUUGCGCCUAGAUCGUUGAAAUAGAGCUGUAGGUUUUAAACGUCAAUGAAGUAAACAAUUAUCUGUAAAAUAAGGAUUUUAACAGUUCUGAACAGUUUAGUCAAUUAAGCAUUUCAAAUAUAAGGAGAACCAUAUUUAAUAUAGAAAUUAAUACUGUUUUGUCUACCUCAAAUACAAAAAACAAAUCUGAAACAUACAAUGAGAUUCAUUCAACAACAACAUCUGCAACAGGAGAAAGGAUUUAUUGAAGGUGAUAUAUGAUUCAAAUCCUUUUCAUCUCAUAUAGACAUACACAAAUGUGAAAUUAUGAUUUGAUCAUCAAAAUAAAAAGUAUACGCUGUAUUUACAGUAAUAAUAAUAAUAAAAAACAAGUCUAUCAAAUAUUACAGCUCUGAUUAACAGUAUGAUUAACAUUCAAACAUGUACAUUUACGCAAUUAUUAGAUACAGUAUUAAAAAAUAAAACCGGUUUAGUAACAUAAUACAUGAGGGCGAAAGUAAGCUUAUGAUGUUCAUGAUAUUUACAGUGGCAUAAAAAGUCUUCGCAGGGCUCUGAGCUAAUAAAAACUCAAUGCUUUCUCUUUAUCAAAUCAAAAUGUUGAUUUCUCACAGUUUUCUUGUUGAAUAUUACUUAUAGAUCCUUAAAAAACAUCCGGUUCCUUUUGUUUUUCAGCGGAGGAGUGGAGCUCGAGCUUUGGAGAUGGAGUUACUGUAAAAAAAUAAGAAAUAUAUUAAAAUGACAGCAGUGUUAUGAUGAGGACGAGCAGCGCAUGCAGACGGAUACUGAGAAACGAUGGAGAUUUACAGAAGGUAAAGGAGGAAAUCUGAUACCAUGGUUUGUGAAAGCGCACCGAUGGCAUUGCGUGAAGAGUUUUCCUUCUUCUGGACACAGAGCGUCUAUUACAGAUGAAAACCAUAUAAAUAACCGAUGAUUUUCAGCAUUCAAAACUUCAGUGCAUCCCUACUCUGAAUCUGAACCAGGAAAGAUGCAGAUAAAGAUGAGAAACGCCCGAAAAAACUCAUGCAGAAAAGCUGAAGAGACGCGACUGGACGAAGCGGGCCAUACCGCAGACUUACAGAGGCGAGGAAACUCAGACUGCGGCCGAACUGAUGGAUCUUAAGUGCUUUAUGUUCGACUGCUUGAUGAAACUAUUAUUAUUGGCCACGGAGGCAUCGCUAAUGUCACAGAACACACCGUCCGUUUCACAGGCCACUACCUGCAAACUGCCUAAAGAUUUAGCCAGCCUUGAAUGUAAAGGGCUGUGAAAGGAAAACGGGAAAAUUAAUCACAAUAAAGCUCACUCAAGUUGCUUUUAGUACUUGAAAUAC